AGAGUUUGAUCAUGGCUCAGAACGAACGCUGGCGGCGUGGAUAAGACAUGCAAGUCGAACGGGAUUAGUCUGUGUAGCAAUACAUAGAUUGAUUUAGUGGCGAACGGGUGAGUAACAGGUGGGAAUCUACCUUGAAGUGGGGGAUAGCUUGCCGAAAGGCAAAUUAAUACCGCAUGUGAUCGAAAGAUCAAAGCUGGGGACCGCAAGGCCUAGCGCUUCUAGAUGAGCCCGCCUCCUAUCAGCUUGUUGGUGGGGUAAUGGCCCACCAAGGCUAUGACGGGUAGCUGGUCUGAGAGGACGACCAGCCACACUGGGACUGAGACACGGCCCAGACACCUACGGGUGGCAGCAGUCGAGAAUUUUUCUCAAUGGGGGAAACCCUGAAGGAGCGACGCCGCGUGGAGGAUGAAGGGCUUCGGCUCGUAAACUCCUGUCACUAGGGAACAAAGGUGCAAACCUAACACGUUUGCAAUUGAUGGUACCUGGAGAGGAAGGCACGGCUAACUCUGUGCCAGCAGCCGCGGUAAUACAGAGGUGCCAAGCGUUGUUCGGAUUUACUGGGCGUAAAGGGUGCGUAGGUGGUUUGGUAAGUCAAAUGUGAAAUCCUACAGCUUAACUGUAGAAAUGCAUUCGAAACUGCCAAGCUAGAGGACUGGAGAGGAAAUCGGAAUUCUCGGUGUAGCAGUGAAAUGCGUAGAUAUCGAGAGGAACACCAGUGGCGAAGGCGGAUUUCUGGACAGUUUCUGACACUGAGGCACGAAAGCUAGGGGAGCAAACGGGAUUAGAUACCCUAGUAGUCC
Molecule: ribosomal RNA, 800 nt
Filed under: uncultured bacterium
Lineage: Bacteria
Description: bacterial SSU rRNA
Rfam family: Bacterial small subunit ribosomal RNA
Source: RNAcentral